Molecule: long non-coding RNA, 382 nt
Filed under: Vigna radiata
Lineage: Eukaryota; Viridiplantae; Streptophyta; Magnoliopsida; Fabales; Fabaceae
Description: long non-coding RNA (VRAD_LNC000902)
Source: RNAcentral
UUGUAUGUUAUGCUCACAAUCUUUAAAAUGGGAACUGAUGUAAAAUUCUUAGCUAAAGUCUGAAAUUUGCAGGUUGAUAGAUUGGGAAGUUGUUGGUUUGUGUGAUUUUAUUAAAUGUAGUGGGGACCUUCAAUUGGGGUCACAAUUUUGGCAUCUUGUUCAUAAAUAUUUUAAGUUUGGAUCAUCUUCUCUCUACCUCUUUUUCUUUUAUCUUUCUUUUCCAUCAUUGUAAGCUUUGGUAUUCUUGGAUCUUGAUCUUACUCACUUUUUUACCCAAUAAAACUCACACCAAAUCAACGCAAUUGGCUUUCAUGGAGAUCAUGUUCCCAAUUGGUGUAAUUAUGUAAUUAUUGCUUGCAUUUUUUAACCACAAUAUCCCCCU